RNAcentral lists this ribosomal RNA (463 nucleotides) under uncultured bacterium. RNAcentral describes it as "bacterial SSU rRNA". It matches the Rfam family "Bacterial small subunit ribosomal RNA", at positions 8 to 507 of the family's 1533-position model. The record is from RNAcentral.
AGAGUUUGAUCAUGGCUCAGGAUGAACGCUGGCGGCAUGACCUAAAACAUGCAAGUCGAGCGGUAAGGCCCCUUCGGGGGUACACGAGCGGCGGACGGGUGAGUAACGCGUGGGAAUCUACCCCAAACUGAGGGAUAAGCAUUGGAAACGAUGUCUAAUACCGCAUAUGGUCUUCGGAUUAAAGCUUCGGCGGUUUGGGAAGAGCCCGCGUAAGAUUAGCUAGUUGGUGAGGUAAAGGCUCACCAAGGCGACGAUCUUUAACUGGUUUGAGAGGAUGAUCAGUCACACUGGAACUGAGACACGGUCCAGACUCCUACGGGAGGCAGCAGUUAGGAAUUUCCACAAUGGGCGAAAGCCUGAUGGAGCAAUGCCGCGUGCAGGAUGAAGGCCUUAGGGUUGUAAACUGCUUUUAUACGUGAAGAAUAUGACUGUAACGUAUGAAUAAGGAUCGGCUAACUCCGUG